RNAcentral lists this long non-coding RNA (240 nucleotides) under Setaria viridis. Its description in RNAcentral is "long non-coding RNA (SVIR_LNC009356)". The record is from RNAcentral. Lineage: Eukaryota; Viridiplantae; Streptophyta; Magnoliopsida; Poales; Poaceae.
GUGCAUUCGGGUGCCGAAAUGCACCCGUUUUGCAUCAUUUUUCGUGCAAGAACCGAAUGGCCAAAAACACUCCCAAACAUGUUCUAGUGCAUAUUUACGAAGAUUGCAUGCGUUCGUUGCGAAAAAAUCCACCCGAGUUUCGCUACCCGGCAAUAGUGCAUUCGGGUGCCGAAAUGCACCCGUUUUGCAUCAUUUUUCGUGCCGGAACCGAAUGCCCAAAAACACUCCCAAAUAUGUUCU